This is a long non-coding RNA of Passer domesticus (house sparrow), 6837 nucleotides long. RefSeq lists it as uncharacterized. The record is from RefSeq and is a predicted model, not a curated record. Lineage: Eukaryota; Metazoa; Chordata; Aves; Passeriformes; Passeridae. The transcript is spliced from 2 exons.
UCACGGCUUCCUCACGGCUUCCUCACGGCUUCCUCACGGCUUCCCUGGUGCCCUCCCCUCCCCGGCCCGGCAGCUCUUGCCCGAGCCGCACGGUCCCGCCGAGAAGCAGCUCUUGGUGCAGCCUUUGAAUCGCCCUCAUGAAGCGAAAGCCGCGGCGCAGGCCAGCCCGCGAGCAGCACCGCAGGCAGGGAUCGCUGCUUCCCCUCCUGGAGCUGCGGGACACGCUGGGCUGCAGCGUGGAAAUCGCCCCCGAAUCUCCCAAAUCCAAGCCUAACUCCCCCUGCUCCGUGUGUCGGGAGCCGGGGCAGGAUGGUGUGGGCAGCUCCAACCUCCCCUGAGCGGCCCCGCACUCCUGCAGCCCUUCCCGCACAUAAACAAGUGUCAAAGACCUGUCUGCUCGCUGUGCCCUGCGAGAGCGCUGCCCUGCACCGAGCAUCCCCCUCCUCCUUCACUUCCCCUGCCAUCCCUCUGGCAGCGGGUUUUGUCUUUUUUUAAAAACCCAGGUGCCAAACCUGUGUGAAAUUACUGAUAUUCACUGAAAUCUGGCUGAGAAGCACUAAGUACGGGAGGUCACGGUCAGUUUUGUGGCACCAUCACCCCCCAGCCGCUGCCUCACCUGCAGGUGGCUGGGGCUGCUCACCGACACAGAAGGGCUGUUAAAGGCGUGUUGAGCUUCAUUUACUCAAGGGUAGAAUUAAUUUGUUUGAACUAUUUAUUUCAGAUAAAAUAAUCCCUUUAAAGGCUGCUGCUACUCUGUAAUUUUAGGCAUGUCCAUGUCCACCUGCCUUCACUUUGCUUUGGUCUGUGUGGAACUGCAGAAUGUGACAAAAUGGCAUUUGCAAAAAGAACAAGUAAACACAGGCUUAAUGAACUCACUUAUUUUGCUUCCUUUACUUAUGACUCAUAAAAUGAAAAUCCUUUAAUGUUGUAACCCAAAUAAAUUGCCAUGUUGGUUGCCUCUCGACUGUACUGCAAGUAGGGAACAAGAAGGGCUGAGAGUGAGGGAUCAGGAAAAGGUAAGGAUGUGCUCAGCUCUGAUUAAGUAACAUUAUCCUGCUUCUUUUGCUUUUGAAGGGUGGAAAAGCAAGAGGUGAUGUCUAAUCCUCCCGGGCAGCAAAAAAUGGGUGGGGAACGCUGAGCUGGGUGCAGCACUUGGCAGUCUUUGGGGUGCAGUGAUGAGGUGCCAGUGCUUGAUGGUAUGGAUAGAAGGGCACACGCCUCAGCCUUGUGACAUGUAGGGUUAAUGGGGCAGAGCCACACCAUGUCCCUCUGAGGGGACCUGGGUGGCACUGCCACAGCAGUGUCACAUCCCAGCUCUGGGCAGGAGAGGUUCCCUUCCUGGGCCAUCCAAUCCCUCAGCUGUUACAGCUCCUCAUAACCCACAUUUUGUGAACAACCACAACUCCCACAGUGAUGUCCAUUUCAGCCCAUUCCACACAGAAGCGGAAAAAUUUCUUCCUGAGAAGGAAUUAAUGCAAGAGAAGUGGAGAUCAGUAAAUGACUACAAUAAAAAUACCCUUCAGCUUUCCUUUUUAUUCUUCCAUAUUUUUCCAGCAGCUGCUUAAAAACUGGUAUUCAGCAAUAAAAUGACCUGAUAACAUUUAGGUCUUUGAGACAUAGAUAUUUUAUUUACUGAAAAAGUGUUACUAAACCACUUUACAAAAACAUUCACCAGGCUUUGCAGCACUUCCAGGAAAAUACAUACAAUUCCUCCUCUCUUUAUGCAAUCAUUGUUUGCUCCUGUUCAAGCUGACAGAUGGUAUGAAAGUUUUGCACUUGACAUCCAUAAUUGUCUUUCCCACAGGCGUGUGCUCAUCGAUGAUGUGCUCAUUGCAUCACCUCCUGACUUGGAACAUUUUUUUAAAAAGCUGUUUCACAUAUGAAAUCCUGGGAAAGGUGAGGGCAGGAACGGGUAUUUCCACUUUUGCUCCUGGUUGUGGGCUGUGCAAGUGAUGUGAUGUGUUUGAAACCCAGAUGUUAACAUGGUCACUGUAUAAAUACAUCAAUAAAUUCGUCCAGGCUCUUGUCCAUUCACACUGACUGGACUGUGGCCAUCUAAGAAACCACCUGAAAAAUAAAGACACAUUCUGUUAGUCAAAGGGACUCUCACAACGUCAGGUGGCACUUGCAGGGAAAUUGUCCAUCAGCUCUGCCAUGUUAGAUUAAAAGGAAGCACUAAAUUGCCUCAUGUUUUGAAGUAUUUUAUAUUUUAUUUCACGCUAUAAUUUUUUUUAACAGCCAAAUAAGAUUUAGUUUCUCAAGCAAGGGAAAAUGUGCCGGAGAGUGUAUUGAAAUCAAGUUUCUGGCUCAGCGAGGGGAGGUGACCUGAGCUCAGUGCAGGAAAGAAGCUGUUGCUGUAGGAUUGCACCCAAGGAGCUGUGGGCCAGCCUGGAGAGUGCUGCCUUUAUGUCACACACAGGGGACAGUGAUGAGUGAGAGGCCAAGGCUGGCUAUAAAAAGACCUUGCAGCAACUGGUUAAAGCACAUCUUGGCACUAUUAAUGGAUACAGAAGGGACAUGGGUCAAGAAGCUCUUUGCCAAAAUAACCUUCAUUGCACUGUAAUGUCAGAGACAAGGGAAGAGCUCCAUGAACUCAAGAACAUUUCAUUAAUAAUUAUUAGUACAAUAUUAAUAAACUAUUAUUUACAUUAUUUAUAUUAAAUAAUUUAAGUAUUUCUAUUAAAUAAUUUAUUUAUAUAUUUAUGUUAAAUAUUUCUAUUAUUAAUUUAAUUUAUUAUUUAUUUAUUAGUUCAAUGAGGCAUCUGUUUCUCCCUUUACUCAUCUGGGAAGAGAAACAGAUGACCCAAAAUGCCAGUGCUUUUUCACCAGCUUUUUUUCAAAGGCAUUUCAAAUUCCUGCAGUCAGAGGAAUUGCUGAGGACAUGUCCCCUGUGGUUCACUACUAAUAUAUAGACAGGUUGGGUUUGUGUGGUUUUUUUUUGGUGGUUUUUUUUUUUUUGGUUUUUGGUUUUGUUUUGUUGUUGUUGUUGUUGUUAUUGUUUGUUUUUUGGGUUUUUUGUGGGUUUUUUUGCAUGAAGCUAUGCUGGCAGUCUGGAAAUUUGUGAGGAGGGUAAUGGAAUAUUGCAACAGCCCAGGAAACUGCAUAUUGUACUAGUAGAAAAAAAAUAGGAAGAGCAGAAACAAAGUUUCCUCCUCCUUUAGGCACAAAAUACACAAACAAAAGAUUUUGAAAAUGUACAGAUUGGCAUAGCAGAGGAGUUAGCACAUAAUCAAGGACAUUUUUAAAACCUGCUGAAAUGCCAUGAAAAUUCAGGGCUAUAAACACGUGGGAUGCUCCAAGUCUGAAUUGGAAUAUUCAGCGCAUUCGUCACUGGGCUGGAAAAUGUUGCUGCUCUUCCAGUUUCAGGGGUUGAAGGACAACAGAAGCAUCUCAAACUCUGCUGAUUGCAGGGGUGUGUUUGGUUGGUUGGUUUUUUGGGGUUUGGUUGGGGUUUUUUUGGAUGUUAUUUUUAAUUACAGCAGAGUCAUUUUUUGGAGCCUGGUGUAAGGGCUGAGGCAGAAGCAGAGACACGAGACUACCAGAAAGAUGGCAAGGACAAUAUACAGGAUGAAUCAUUAAAUAAAAAUGUUCUUCCUUGUUGGAGAUGGACAUAAAGAAAUAUUAGCCAGCAAGUGAAGGAAUAUCAGCCAAGAGAACACAGGGAGCUGGUGGAGGGGGAAGAUGCUCAGGGGGUGGGCACCUCCCUUCAGGGCCCCACACUCAGCUGAGCUCUGCUCCUAUAAAAAAUCACUACAAAGUCAGACUGGCAAUGGUUAAAUGAACUAAUUUCCAGCCUUGGUUCACUCUGAUCCCACUGCUGAGUCACAGAACUCCUGCACGGUCCCUGCUUCUCCCACUUCCCUGGACACUCACCCAGGGCCCAUCUCCUCAUCAGAAACCAGGCACUGUGCUGUGGCAGAGCUGAGAAACUGCAGAGAAAAGACAUUUCCAUCAUGCCCUCCUAAUAUUUCAUUUGCCUUGGAAUGAAUUUCCUCUGCUCAUCUUGUUAAAGACAGAUUAUUUUUGCUUUGCUCAUUACACAGACCUGUCUAAAGCACUGUGUCCAAGGAUGAAAAAUAAAUGAAAGCUCCAGUGGUGCCGUUACCCAGCAGAGCUGAUGGAUUGCACUCUCCUGUGGCUGCUUUCAGCUGCUGUGUCUCGUGAACCAUGCUGCUAAUUUCACAUCUCAGUUACUGCAAAAAUGCUAAAUAAAGGUUUUGUUGUUUUUUUUUAUUUCCAUUUUAUCCCUAAAAAUGUGUGAUUAUUCACAUGGCAAAAAUGAUAAAUCUAAAGAUUUGAAAAAGUGAAGAAGUGAUGGCUUCAAGUCAGCAUCAUGCACACACAACUUUCAUUUAAGUCUUGCUUAGCUGAGGAAGUACUUCCAGCAGAAAUAUUAAUUUAAGAUUUUCCUAACUUUCAUGACCAGCCUCAUCCUGAAGUUGAUUUACUUUUGCUGAGUAAUACAGGAUUUGUCUUUAAUUCUUGAAAUAAUAGGAAACAGAAAGAAGGCUUACUUUAAAAAACUACACCUAAAAUGAAUUUUUUGUGUGGUUCAGAUAUUUCUAUUAAAUUGGUUGUGCUAUGUUCCCUUCCAGGAAUUUUACAUCAACAAAAUAUGGCACCAAAAUCACUAAGCAGGGUAAAAAUCUAGAAAGAUUCCUUUGGAAAAGGUGUAUUUAAUGCAGCUGUAACACAGGGUGGAGAUGAAUAAAACACUACACAACUAUUAAAAUAAAUAUAUGCUAAAAUACCAUACCUGUUUUUAUGAAACUCUGAAUGAAAAUCAAUCAUUAAGGCCAACUGGAAAAAAACAAAGUUAAAUAGAAUUCAUUGAUUGUUAAGUCAACAAAAAUCUGAAGAAAGAUACAGAUAAAACAUUUGAAGAUCUUUAUUUUGUUUUUCUGUCCUUUUAAUCUUGCAUUUCUUUAUUUCAACCAAAAAAAAAAAAAGGCAAAAAUUCUUGGGAAAGAACCUGUUUUUAAAAAGUUGCUAUCUAGAAGAGCUUGAGAAGUUGUUUAUUGCAUGACGACUCAUUCCCACAAUCUGUGAGUGCACUGCCACGUGCAAACCUCUUGUCUUCUCAAAAUCUGCUAAAGUUCUACAAAUCCUAAUUUCUAAACCAGGAAUAGAAGCAUCAGUGAAGAACAGCUCUGCAAAUUCUUCUACUUCCACUAGAGGAUGUUUCACUGAUCACCUUCAAAGGGCUGCCACAGCUCAGAGAGUGGCACAGAGGAUGAUGGUAAGUGGGAACUUACCUACCAAAAAAAAAAUUGAUGAAGAUGCGCAUCCUGAAAUUACAGCCCUCCAGAAAGAGGUCAUAGUUGACUAUUCCCACAAAAUAAUUCAAGAAUGUCCUAAAAUUUGUAGAAAACAGAAGCAAACAUAGUGUUUAGUUUAACUGACAGCUGAGCAUUAGCUUGGCCAGGCUUUCCAGAACACACUACAAUCUCCUGGAAAGGCUGGAAAUGCACCAAGUUCAGGGCACAAUGGAAUAUCCACAGGUGAUUGUCAAAGUGUAACUGCAAUUCAAACACUGGGAAGGUCACGUGUGGCAAAGGAUCCUUCAGGGCUGGAAACUGAGACACACAAACAGAGGACAAGGAGUAACUGGGCAGUACUUACUCGGUGCUGGGCUGAGGGGUCCGGGGCUCCCUGCCCGUGGCCACGAGGCACUGCCAGCUCCUGGGGGUUCCACGGAGCAGCCCAGGACUUGACCCUGGAAAGGACAAACGGGGCCCUGCCCAGGCAGGGCACAAGUGCCCUGGACAGGAGCUCCUGAGGCUGCCUGGGGUCAGCUGGACACACAGCCCCUGGGACAGAAGGUCUCAAAGCUGCCAGCACUCUCCGGGGCUCGAGGGUUUAGGAAUUGUCCACCAGGACCUCUGCCGUGCUUCCCUGUCUGCACAUCUGGGUGCUGGAGUCACUCUCUCCCUGUCUGCACAUCUGGCUGUUGGAUUCAUUGCUCUUUAGUGACUCUAGAACUCAAUUUAUUUCAGCACUACCCCACCAAGCUGAGUGAGGACGGGUCACAGACUCCACUCACCACCUCCUCCACCUGAUCCUCAGUUCCUGGCCCCUCUGAAGUGAGCAGCACAAAUCCCACUGCCUCAGCAGGGCCAGGAUACCAUUGGAAGGAAUUUCCUUCAUUUCAAAUAUGAAGAGUUGAAGCUCUUGGAUUGCAUUAAAUGAGAAACAAAGAGUUUUAAAUGAUUUAUUUGAUUUCUCCACAUGAUCACAGUUAUAGUUUUACAUCAAUAGGGUCUGUUACUACUUACAAACAGAAUGCAUAUUAAAAUGAAAGCACUCCUUUCUUCCCCAGAGUUACAAAAGGGGUCUCGAGCCUCCCCAGAACAGAAGCUUCUUGUAAGCAUAAUGAUUUUUGAAGUCUUUAAGAGUCUGCAUUCAAGACCUAAUUCUAACAGUUUAAUACAACUCAAAGCUGAUUUAAGUUCCUAGCAGGAGAUAGGCAACCUCAAAGUGACUGCAGACUUAUAGUAAUGCUAAUUUACACACUAUGUACAAUUUAGAUAAUUCUCUAUUCCCCCUACUGGUCCCAUUUUCACCACCCCCUUUUCUCUUUUCCAAAUUGAAUCUUGUUAUUGGUUCCACUUUUCUUUGAAAUAUAUACACGAGAAUCCAUUUUUCAGUCAAGAAGUGCGAUGGUAUUUUACAAGGGAACAGCAAAAUGCAUGCUUAACUGCAGAAAACACACAGCUUCAUAUGGAACAGCAAGUCAACAUCUAGAGAUUCAGUGUUUAAAUAUCUGCUGACUGUCUUUCAGCUCAUUUUAUCAAGAAACAAGAGGCUUCUGCUGCAUGCAGUACAUGAUGGGAAAAU